Molecule: ribosomal RNA, 260 nt
Filed under: uncultured archaeon
Lineage: Archaea
Description: partial 16S ribosomal RNA
Rfam family: Archaeal small subunit ribosomal RNA
Source: RNAcentral
CAGCCGUAAACGAUGUGCGUUAGGUGUAUCGACGACCACGAGUCGUCGAGGUGCCGAAGGGAAACCGUGAAACGUACCGCCUGGGAAGUACGGUCGCAAGGCUGAAACUUAAAGGAAUUGGCGGGGGAGCACCACAACAGGUGGAGCCUGCGGUUUAAUUGGACUCAACGCCGGAAACUCACCAGGGGAGACAGCAAUAUGUAGGUCAAGCUGAAGACUUUACCUGAAUCGCUGAGAGGUGGUGCAUGGCGUCAGUGACU